AUGGCCUGGACUGUGCUCCUCCUCACCCUCCUCACUCAGGCCACAGGUUCCUGGGGCCAGUCUGCUCUGACUCAGCCUUCCUCAGUGUCUGGGGCUCUGGGACAGUCAGUCACCAUCUCCUGUGCUGGGACCAGCAAUGACAUUGGGCGUUAUAACUCUGUCUCCUGGCUCCAGCAGCUCCCUGGCAAGACACCCAAGCUCCUGAUUUAUGGUGUCAGUUCCCGGCCCUCAGGGAUCCCUGAUCGCUUCUCUGGCUCCAAGUCAGGCAACACGGCCACCUUGACCAUCUCUGGUCUCAAGCCUGAGGAUGAGGCUGAGUAUUAA
Non-coding RNA from Talpa occidentalis (Iberian mole), 324 nucleotides. NCBI's taxonomy places the organism in Eukaryota, Metazoa, Chordata, Mammalia, Eulipotyphla, Talpidae. The record is from the annotation of a RefSeq genome assembly.